This 253-nucleotide ribosomal RNA is filed under the name uncultured bacterium. RNAcentral describes it as "partial 16S ribosomal RNA". It matches the Rfam family "Bacterial small subunit ribosomal RNA", at positions 524 to 776 of the family's 1533-position model. The record is from RNAcentral.
UACGUAGGUGGUAAGCGUUGUCCGGAUUUACUGGGUGUAAAGGGCGUGCAGCCGGGCUGACAAGUCAGAUGUGAAAUCCCGCGGCUCAACCGCGGAACUGCAUUUGAAACUGUCAGUCUUGAGUACCGGAGAGGUCAUCGGAAUUCCUUGUGUAGCGGUGAAAUGCGUAGAUAUAAGGAAGAACACCAGUGGCGAAGGCGGAUGACUGGACGGCAACUGACGGUGAGGCGCGAAAGCGUGGGGAGCAAACAGG